RNAcentral lists this ribosomal RNA (201 nucleotides) under uncultured bacterium. Its description in RNAcentral is "partial 16S ribosomal RNA". It matches the Rfam family "Bacterial small subunit ribosomal RNA", at positions 328 to 539 of the family's 1533-position model. The record is from RNAcentral.
ACGCUCGACACCUACGGGAGGCNGCAGUCGGGAAUAUUGCGCAAUGGAGGAAACUCUGACGCAGUGACGCCGCGUGCAGGAAGAAGGUUUUCGGAUUGUAAACUGCUUUAGACAGGGAAGAAAGAAAUGACAGUACCUGUAGAAUAAGCUCCGGCUAACUACGUGCUAGCAGCCGCGGUAAUCUGAGCGGGCUGGCAAGGC